This 204-nucleotide long non-coding RNA is filed under the name Mytilus galloprovincialis (Mediterranean mussel). The record is from RNAcentral. Lineage: Eukaryota; Metazoa; Mollusca; Bivalvia; Mytilida; Mytilidae.
GUGUUUUAGAGAGGAAUAACUAUGUCCAUGAUGUCUGACUUUAAAGAAUUGAUGAAAUAAAGUAUGGUGUGAGCCUCAAUGAGACAGUAACCCUUCAAUGAAAGUACACAAUCACACUUAACAAAUCAUUAAUGCAGGAAAAAAGACAACACUAUAUAGAAUUUAGACCCCCUUAAAAGAUUUAUUUUUCUUGUUAAUAGGGAC